Molecule: long non-coding RNA, 8224 nt
Organism: Alligator mississippiensis (American alligator)
Lineage: Eukaryota; Metazoa; Chordata; Crocodylia; Alligatoridae
Exons: 2
Source: RefSeq, a predicted model, not a curated record
CGACCUGGAGGGGAAACAAAACAGAACCAAAAAAAAAAAAAAAAAGACAGAGAGAGAGAGAAAAAAAAUACACCCAAAGUUAAAAAAAAACCACCACCACCCUGCUGGCCACGGAGCCCAUUUUAAGGAUCGGCCGAGCCGGGGGGGAGAUGCCCACCAGCCGGGCAGGCUCCCGCCCGGGCACGCAUCUCCAGCCUCCCCCCAGCCCGGGGAGAGCGGCGGCAGCCAAGGGGAGGAAAAAACAAGAAAGACCCCAUCUCACUUGAACUCUGUUUUUUGCCUGGGUCUUCAAGGGUGCGCGGCUUUCUCUCCUGCCUGGAUCUCUUUGAAAGACAUUGCAUGGGGUGGCCGAUCGCCUGCCGGCCGCCAAAGGCGAGCUCCUUCUCGCAUCGGGCUGGUUACAUUACAUUGCUCGGGAAAGGCUCCUGCCUCCUUUUUUUCGCGAGCCAACACAUAUUGUGCUUUCUGCUUGCUUCUCAGGCAUCCCACAAUACACCACUCCGGAGCUCGGCUAAUGGCUAACCGCCCUCCACCGACUGCACAUUCACGGCAGCUGCAGCGCGCUGCAAACCCCCCAGCCCGGCCGCCCCUCCGCGCCUCCCCGCCGCAAAUAAAAGCCGGCGCAUUUUUCCCCCGGCCGUGCGCGGGGGCCGGGCCCCGGGGGCCCCGCAUGCAGGACGGUGCCUGGAAUCUGCAGGCUGCAUUUACCUGGGUGCAAAGUGUUUCUAAUGCAAGACGGGCAGAGGGGGGCAAGUGUGGGGCACUACGCGGGGCCGGGGCCGGGGCCGGGGCCGGGGCGAGGGCGGCUCCGAGCGGGGACAAUGUGUCAAUUUCAGCGGAUGGGGAAGCCGCGGGGAAAGUAGCAAUUUUGUGCUCCGGCAAGGUCCUGAGCCGGGCUCGGCCAAUCAGCGGCCGGCUUCCAUCUUGUCCCCGCUGGCAGAGGAAGCGGGGCCCCGGCGGCUGCCUCUUGUCUCGGCUCCGCCGCUGCUUUUUGGGUUUGUAAUUUGGCCCUGCUUAGGUAAUUGGCUGGUGGCAGGCAGCAGGCGCCCGCAGCCAAUCGGCGCGCAGCUUGCAUCGGGCUUGAGUUAUUAGACGCGGAUCUAAAAACAUCCUUCACCAGACAGCUAAGGAGAGGCCAACAGAUCAGGGAGCCAUUUUUCUGCAAUGGAAUUAAAUGGCCAACUGGGCUUUCCUUUGUUCCUAAAGGGGAUGCUGCGCGGGGAGCCGCGGGCCGGGCAGGGCGGCUCGGGGCGGUGUGUAGUGCCUGGCAGCCUGUUAGAGGACUCGCCGAAGGAGGAAGAUAAAAAAGAUUCGGAUUUUUCCCUAUGACUUGGAAUCCAUCUUUGUCUUGUGUAACUAGGUCAUGGCACACCCUCAUGUCAGCAGUAACAAUUUUGAAUGCAAAAAGCAGUCAAGAACAUGUUUUUGUGGGGGGUUUUUCAGCUGCAGGGCGAGCUAGGGACCGAACAAUACAUUUAACAAGAGAAAAAAAAAUAGUCUUUCCUGUAUGAAACACUUAAUACCUGGCCAGUUGUUCUGUUUUUUGUUUUUCUUUUUUUCGUUUUUUUUCCGUAAGUCACUCCUUUGGUGCUUUUGUGAGGUAACGUUUGACUCUAGAUUUAGGAGUUCUGGCAACAAAAACAAGCUGUUUGCCUCUGAUAAACUUUUUUGUUUCUUUGACAUUGUAAGUACCCAAUCCAUUCUGUCCUUGCUAAGUGUAGUUUUCAUGUUAAUGUUACUCGAGUUGUCCUUAUUUCCGAGCCUUCAUUUGCAUGUCUGAUGUUUUUUGUCUAUUUGAUCUAAACCAGUUGAUGCUUUUGAAGUAUUUUUUUUUUUUUUUUUUUUUUUUUACCUCUCCAGCAAAAUCUCUGUAGCUAGGACUGUGUAGAGCUCUUUCCAGCCAGGGACUGUUCGCCAGGCGUUUUCACACUAACAUGUCUCGACUAAAACUACCCAGGGAGGACAUUUUCAGUGUCUGUGGAGCUGUGGAAAAACACUGACUGUCCUUUUUUUUUUCUCCUCUCCUCUUCUUCUUCCUCCUCCAUGUACAGAGUAAAUCUGUCACAGGAAUGUAGAUUUAAGCCUCGAGUCCAAGCCCUAGGUGGAUCCAGCCAGGCAGCCUCACUGGACAGCAUUUUCUGUAGGGUUUUUUGUUUGCUUUGGGGUUUUUUGGUUGGUUGCUUUUUUUUUUUUUCUUCCUCCUGGUUUUUGGUGCCACACCAUUGCCACAUAAAGCCGGCUAAAUGUCUAAACAAGACUUACGAGAGAAGUGGUGCUACAGAUCCUAGAGAUCUGCCCCUGUUGUCUUAAAAAGCCAAACAACACAACUUCACCUCCAGACCUGCAUUCAACUGUGGUGUGCGGGUCGGAGUAUGGCCGGAUCACUAUUCUCUGUGUGCCUCCUCUUGGCCCAGGACAAAGCUACAGCAGUUCUGCCUCAGUUUCCCCAGCAUGUCCCAUUGGCUCCGGCUUCUGGCUCAGCCGUCCUGACAGAUCACUACCAACAAUCGACCCCCUCCACUUCCCGCCAGCAGAGUCGAGACCCAAAGUCACAGUGACAAAGCAAAUAUGAAAUGAAGGAUCCUUUAUCCCCGCUAGGCUUCAUUUGGGCUCCGGGUAAGUUCUUCGUUCGUCCGGGCUCGACUCUCAGAACAACCCCCGCUCCUCGGCUCAGGAAAGCUGGUGGGGGAUGAGUGGGGCACCGGGUUGAAGGGCAAGGGAAGGAAAGUUUAGAGAUGGGUAGGGGUCUGUCAGCUCAUCUUUCUUCCCUCCGACGUGUACGCCAGGAGCUGGGGGGCUGUGUCCUUCCUCGGCCCCCCUGCAGGCCAGCGACCAUCUGUGCCCCCCUGGGGUUUGUGCGAGCUCCUCUUCCAGCUCUCUUAUGCGUGAGCAGAGAGCCCUGCUCUUCCUGCCUCUCUCCCUGUCCCCGUGCCCAGGUGAGCCAGCAUCUUGAGGGCCCAUCCCUCUGCAGGGAUCUUAAAAUGCCUCUCCCUGCCCCCCUGGCGAGCUGGCUUUUUAGGGCAGACCUGCCCCCUGCGCAGAGCGGAGAGCAGGCGCGUUGGAGGCGAGCAGUGCCGAGGCUGGGGGAGGAGCAGGCCUGCCUGGUGCCUACCCUGGCUCUCAAACAGUGGCAGUGGGAGGAGGCAUAAGAACAGCCACCGAGAUGAAUGGAGCAGUUAAUAUAUCUCAGAGCGAUUGUUUCCAGCUGCAUUCAUCUCCAUGGGGUGUCCUCAUUCAGCUGCUGAACAUCUCACAGAGAUGAAUGAACCACUUCACACCUAUCUGAGCCUCCUGUGCCACAGAUGGAUCUGUAGAGCCCUUUUGUUCAUCUCCCCCGUCUUCCCUUUCUAAAAAGUGCCCCCCUUCCCAGAUUAUCCUGCACUGAGGGUUUGGAUGCAGCCCGGCCGUUGCUGGUGAUUCAUUUAAUAUAUGAUUAGCACAGCAUUGUACUGCCACUUGUCCGUCCUUACAGUAACAGACCUCUCCCAACCCACUUCGCUGCUGCCAAUCUCCUGGGCAAGGGGAGAGCCCGGUGUGCUCGUACUGGGCACACAACUGGGCACUCGGAUGAGAUGUAGUGGCCGCUCCAGGUACGCGUGCAGCCCAUGCUACCGGUCACGUGGAGGGUGGGGUUUCUACCCAGCUCCUCCUGGCUGCACUACAACUCUGCACAGUCCUCACGCUAGUCGCCAGCCCUCCUCGUACCGGAGUCGGAGCUCUGCCAGCCUGUCUUGGCGAACUGCCAGGCACCGUUCAGUGCCACCCCGCUAGCAUGGUAAAUGCAGGUUUGCAUAUGCAAGGAAUUCCCAGCUCCAAGGGGGCAGAGUUAAGGUGAUGUCGGUGUAUUAUUCAACAUUGCCUUUCCUCGGUGUCUGGAUGCGAGUGGUGUUGAAUGCUGUGUUGCCCCUGCCACGGCAGUGGCAACUCCGUGAUACUGCAGUCCUUUGUUAGCUGGGCUUUGGAGGGGAUGCUCCAGUGAGGAGUAGGGCAGUUCAUCCCCCAGUAAAGGAGCUAUGGUACCAGUCUGUCCGUAGGCUCACUGGCUUCACUUUGCUGUUUUACUCCCUGUUCACAUCAGAAAGAUUUUCUCCAUAAUCGUGCAUUUAUAAUGAAACUGAGAUUUGCAGUAUAACAUGUUGACCACUUAAAUACAUCGGGUGAACCCGAUUUAAUCCUCUAGUCUGCCACCCGUGCAAUGCUAAAGGAAGUAACCAAAAGACCGGUACGUGUUAAAUAGCCAGUCUAGGCAAUAGCCUAUGGUUUAUGAGUCAAAUCUAGCCCUGUUGCAUCAUUGUUUAACACUCCCCACUGGCUUUGUGGAGUUGUGCUUCUUAACCAGCUACGAGAUCCACACUCCUGACAUGCAGCGGCCCAGUUUUCUUUCUUUCCUUCUUGUUUUUCCCCUUGGUGUGCUCUGAUCUGUAUGAUAGCGCUUGAAUCACUCUGUACAUCAAAUUUGCCUAAUGUCUUUGCACUGGUUUAGUGUGUGAAGCACUUGGAGCCAAGUGGAACGGGAACUCUAAUUCCCGAGACGUGAAAAGGCAGAUAGGAUAUUAUCUCACUGAAAUUUAUUUUUUUCCACAUUAUUUUAUGGGCUAGAAAAUGAAUACAGUUCUGGCAGGUCUAUGAAUUGAAAAGAAUUGCACAAGCUAGUUCCUACUUGGCCAAGUGCUAUUUAAACACUGUUCGACUUUGGGUGAACUUCAGGGGACUGAUCAGUGCCCCAGCUGCCUUUCCUUCAGGGUAAGUGUCUAAAGCAGAACAAGUCCCUUCUGGAACUGGCUAGCUGGAAAAUGAAAACACCACCCAGAAGAUGGGUGCAAAGCAAGCCUGGAGGAGAAAUGCUUCUUCCUGUUUUGGGGAACAAACGCAAGGUUUAGAGCAUACUCUGGUGGAGGCACAUUUGUGCGAGACAGAAGGAAGAAACCCGAUCAAAGCAUAUGACAGCCAAGGAGAAAGCAGAAUGAGCGUAAGAUUGUGGACCGGAGAAAAAGCCUGGAGAGAUUUGGGGGGCUGAGACCUGACUAAAAAAGGCUGUGAGCAAAGAAACUGUCUGCUUUUCCGGAGUCCUGUCGUGUUAGUGGAAACUGGACUUUGUGUUCUUUGUAAGUAAGUGGGAAUGCCUCAGAGAAAUACCUGGCUUCAGCAGCAAUUUCUAUCCCUCAUCAAGGAAAACUUGAAAAUUAGCUAACCCCCGGGGUCCAAAAAAAAGUCAAAAGAAUGUGCUAUCAUUUACUGAACGUGAAUCAUGCUAACAAUUACAUCAUACACAGGUAUAAUUUUGUUGUGCAUCGGAUGUUAUAUACAAUAUAGCAUACAUUUACUAUACUGCUGUUAAACCUGUGUGCGUCAGAGCUAUUUCUUGUUGUACGUACUGAACAUAAUGAUGUUGAAUCUGUCUCUCUAAAAGGACACAUGUAGCUUAAAACCUUUUAGUGACAUUAUUUAUAAAUAUUCCUGAAUGUGAGAGACUUUUUAGUAUCUGACACUUAAUUUCUGUAAACCGUAUUUCAGAUUGAACGUUUCCACACCCCCCCCCCCGCCCCACUUAACUCGACAAGCGCAACAUCUGAGAGUGGAUGUCAGGUGCUUUCAGAACCAGAUAUGUAAGUCCUAGCUUAAUGCACAUGGCUUUUGUAGUCAUAUUGGCCAAAAUGAUCUAUCCCACAUAUGAAUGUUAUUUAUAUGUUGUUCAAAUCAGAUAUCUUAUUUAAAUGUAUUUGUUUAAAAAAAAUGACCGACACCUUAAAUUUUAAAAUAAUCGAUGCCAAAGCCUAAACACAUUACAGAUUAAAAUAUGCUGCAGUGAGUCUUUUUUAAUGGCUUAAGGGGUGCUACUUUUUUGAGUUAUUAAAGAUUUAGGUAGAAAGCACCUUUUAAAUGUUUAGGCUAAGUCGAUCUUUAUAGAGAGGUCAUAAUGUCACAUAAGUAAAUGUUACAUACUUUUGCAGAAGCGAGUGUUGAAGUUGGGGCCAGGCAGGUUUUCUGGGGAUCGAAUGUUCGGGUCCGGUAUCUUUGACGCAAUCCUGUCUGUUUACAAAGGCUGUACAAAGGCCAGGAGACGGUCGGUGCUGAAGGGGAGGAAGGUUUGAAAAUCCCCCAUGGUGCCUAUCUGAAUUUUCAAAAUACCUUUGAAGAUCUAGUCCAUGGUGACCAGAAACAUCCAUCAGCUUAUUCACUACAGUUUGUAUACUCAGUUUUACAUGCAAAAGCUGUUUUAAUUAACUUGCUUUCUUCAUUACGUAUCGUAAGUAUUUUAGGUUUGUUUGUAUUAGAUAAACCACAUUUUUAAAUUAGUUUUAUAUAGGUCUAUUUUUAUUUAAUUCUGAUUUCCAUCCACACACAACUUGACUGAGUAAAACAAUUUAAAAAUCCAACAUUAGUAAAUAAGAAGGGAGUCAUUCACGAUUUUCUAAUGUAUGAAAGUAAAAAUUAAGGGUCUGAAUAAAUAGGUGAAUUAAGCUAGAUUUACUUUCAUUAAGAAUGAAUUGAACGUAUACAGCUAUAAUGUGUUCUCCCACUCAGCACAAAGUAGGAGGUCUUAGUGUAAGGGCUACAUUUGUGUGCGCGUCUUUAGGACAAUGACGGAGAAGCACAAAUGCAAAACGAGAUCAAAAUCGGUGAUUGAGACAACGGUUUCCUGCCGGCUGGUUGGAAUCUCUUUGAUUUUUAGAUCAUUCCAUCUGCUUGAGUAUAUUUUAUGCUCUGAAUUCAGACCGAUCCUGCCAGAUCUGUGACAGAUCUUGGACUUUUUGUCCAUGCAAUAGGAAAAAUGCAUGAUCUGACCAAUCAAACUUGGAACUGUUUGAAACAUAAUGGAAAUGCUAAUGAAAAGUACUGGAUUGACAGCUUUUGUCAAUGAAAUACCCUUACUGACCCACAAACCAAUCUAACUGGUAGUAAAAAAGUAUAAGUGGAAUUCCCCAUCCUGGCCCAGUUUUGUCUCAAACUCCACGUGCUGCAGCUCCACUACCGGGGGGGAGAGAGGAGUUUGAAAGUCUUUGUACCCAUUCAGUCCUUGUCCUCUGUUAAAAUGGCCAAUUAGGCCUUCAUAUGACAGAUGCAUCAUCACGGAGAAGUGCGUUGAUUGGACCAAUCCCGUGUCCCACUGACCUUAAAGUUUUGUGUGUCUUGUAGUACGUCCCAGUCUGAUCUAGAUUUAAACUGGGUCUAUACUGCAACCCAGAGAACCAAGUAUUUGAAGGAAAAUCCAUCACUUCUUACUUCUUAUAUUUAUUGCCUGCAGGUUUUAAGUGGAGACACGCUCUUCAUAGAAUGGUAACGUCUACAAUUUCUCCCAUCGCUGCUGUUUUUUAUUUCAACGCUUCAUGGUUUGUAUCUAACAAAAAACCCUGCCCUUUUUCCAUGUGGAAACUAGCACAGUUCACACGAUUGCUAUGAAAUAACAUCCGCCUUGGGUGCUUUGUCACCUAGAUAACACGUUGUAAGAGAAGAGCUGAUGUAGUCCCAUGGCUAGGCAUGUGGACUGGCAGAGGAAACAGCCUUUUUCCUGAAUACACCCUGGCCUGGCACGGACACGGUACCAGGAGCGCGCACUCUCUCUCCAUGUUUCUCUGCCCGUCCUUUGUCUUGUCCAUUAUGUUCUUCGUAUCGGAGGCAAUUUCUAGGUGUGUAUGUGUGCAACGAACAAAACAGUGCUAAUAAUACAUUGCACUGUGCUCGCUGUCUGUUUGUUAUAUUCCUUCUCCCCACUCCUUUUGUCCGUCUUGAUCAUUUAGAUUGGACACCUUGUACCAUGCACAUCCAGCAUCUAAUUCAAUGUGGCUUUUGAGCACUACUGAUGCAAGUAAUGAACAUUAAGGUAAUUGGAUCUUUUUACAAAAAUACAGGUAUUUAAAGUCCUAAUCCCAUAGUGGUUUAUGCACAUCCUUAAUUCAAGCAUGUGGAUAAUUCCACUAAUUUAAUAGUUGUCUCUCUUUCUUACACCAUAUUGUUCCACUUUUUCAAGUUGGAAGGAAGAGUAGAUAUGCACCUUUUAUAAACUAACUAAAUUGACACUGCACAUAGGAUGAGCUCACAUUUUCAGGUUCACCUGUAGGAAAAAAGCAGCCCUUUUUUUUUUUUUCCCUGAAUAUGAAUCAGUAGCUACCAGGACCCUGGACUGCUAUUGCCUUUACAAACUCAGGAGAAUCAAAUAAGGUAAGGACCUGAAGGGUUAAACACAGUAAAAAUACUAAAAUAAAGGCUGCAUUGAAAAAUGUGA